This 551-nucleotide ribosomal RNA is filed under the name uncultured Glomus. RNAcentral describes it as "SSU rRNA". It matches the Rfam family "Eukaryotic small subunit ribosomal RNA", at positions 547 to 1100 of the family's 1831-position model. The record is from RNAcentral. Lineage: Eukaryota; Fungi; Glomeromycota; Glomeromycetes; Glomerales; Glomeraceae.
UUUGGAGGGCAAGUCUGGUGCCAGCAGCCGCGGUAAUUCCAGCUCCAAUAGCGUAUAUUAAAGUUGCUGCAGUUAAAAAGCUCGUAGUUGAAUUUCGGGACCGAUAUAUCGGUCGUGCCUCGGUACGUACCGGUAUUUUCAGUUUCUCCCUUCUGACGAACCUUGAUGUCAUUAAUUUGGUGUCUUGGGGAAUCAGGACUGUUACUUUGAAAAAAUUAGAGUGUUUAAAGCAGGCUCACGCUUGAAUACAUUAGCAUGGAAUAAUGAAAUAGGACGUUUGAUUCUAUUUUGUUGGUUUCUAGGAUCGACGUAAUGAUUAAUAGGGAUAGUUGGGGGCAUUAGUAUUCAAUUGUCAGAGGUGAAAUUCUUGGAUUUAUUGAAGACUAACUACUGCGAAAGCAUUUGCCAAGGAUGUUUUCAUUAAUCAAGAACGAAAGUUAGGGGAUCGAAGACGAUCAGAUACCGUCGUAGUCUUAACCAUAAACUAUGCCGACUAGGGAUCGGAUGAUGUUAAUUUUUUAAUGACUCAUUCGGCGCCUUACGGGAAACAA